Molecule: long non-coding RNA, 250 nt
Filed under: Elaeis guineensis (African oil palm)
Lineage: Eukaryota; Viridiplantae; Streptophyta; Magnoliopsida; Arecales; Arecaceae
Description: long non-coding RNA (EGUI_LNC071155)
Source: RNAcentral
AGACUUCGCCCCCGACUUCAAUUGCAGGUGGACUUCGCCCAGACUCCUAUGGGAGCCAUACUUCAUCCUCGACUCCGACUGCAGGAAGACUUCGUCCGGACUCCUACGGGAGUCGGACUUCGCCCCCGACUUCAAUUGCAGGUAGACUUUUCUCGGACUACUACAGGAGCCAGACUUCACCCCCGACUUCAAUUGCAGGUAGACUUCGCCCGGACUCCUACGGGAGCCGGACCUCGUCCCUGACUCCAGC